RNAcentral lists this ribosomal RNA (448 nucleotides) under uncultured bacterium. RNAcentral describes it as "SSU rRNA". It matches the Rfam family "Bacterial small subunit ribosomal RNA", at positions 26 to 518 of the family's 1533-position model. The record is from RNAcentral.
AGAGCGAACGCUGGCGGCAGGCUUAACACAUGCAAGUCGAGCGGGCGUAGCAAUACGUCAGCGGCAGACGGGUGAGUAACGCGUGGGAACAUACCUUUUGGUUCGGAACAACACAGGGAAACUUGUGCUAAUACCGGAUAAGCCCUUACGGGGAAAGAUUUAUCGCCGAAAGAUUGGCCCGCGUCUGAUUAGCUAGUUGGUGAGGUAACGGCUCACCGAGGCGACGAUCAGUAGCUGGUCUGAGAGGAUGAUCAGCCACAUUGGGACUGAGACACGGCCCAAACUCCUACGGGAGGCAGCAGUGGGAAUAUUGGACAAUGGGCGCAAGCCUGAUCCAGCCAUGCCGCGUGAGUGAUGAAGGCCCUAGGGUUGUAAAGCUCUUUUGUGCGGGAAGAUAAUGACGGUACCGCAAGAAUAAAGCCCCGGCUAACUUCGCGCCAGCAGCCGC